GGCUGGUCCAAGUACAGUGGCAUUUACAACUAAUUGAUCACAGACAGUUACAGAUUCCACUCCCACUGCUCCACUUCACGAGUAACA
Molecule: non-coding RNA, 87 nt
Filed under: Microcebus murinus (gray mouse lemur)
Lineage: Eukaryota; Metazoa; Chordata; Mammalia; Primates; Cheirogaleidae
Source: RNAcentral